UACGUAGGGUGCGAGCGUUUGUCCGGAAUUAUUGGGCGUAAAGAGCUCGUAGGCGGUUUGUCGCGUCUGCUGUGAAAACUGGAGGCUCAACCUCCAGCCUGCAGUGGGUACGGGCAGACUAGAGUGCGGUAGGGGAGAUUGGAAUUCCUGGUGUAGCGGUGGAAUGCGCAGAUAUCAGGAGGAACACCGAUGGCGAAGGCAGAUCUCUGGGCCGUAACUGACGCUGAGGAGCGAAAGCAUGGGGAGCGAACAGGAUUAGACUACCGUG
Molecule: ribosomal RNA, 268 nt
Filed under: uncultured bacterium
Lineage: Bacteria
Description: partial 16S ribosomal RNA
Rfam family: Bacterial small subunit ribosomal RNA
Source: RNAcentral